Molecule: long non-coding RNA, 1974 nt
Filed under: Homo sapiens (human)
Lineage: Eukaryota; Metazoa; Chordata; Mammalia; Primates; Hominidae
Description: HSALNT0058379
Source: RNAcentral
UUUUGCUCAGAAAAUGGGGGCUACUGUUGUACCAGCCGGAGCCCAGAGGACACAGGCGGGCAGCUGGCAGCACUGCCUGCUCAUGCUAAUGAUCCCAGUCCAGCGCUUCCCUUCUAGGGAAGAAGGAGGACAGAAGUGGAUGCCAAGUUCUUGCACAAGGUCAAACGUUUCUGGAGGAAAGGAGCCAAGGUUAGAUUAGCAGUGAGAAUGACAUAGGAAGCUGGGUGGAGAAAAACACCGGCUGAGGGGGAAAAGUCUGGAAACACAAAUGGAGACAGCAGUAAAAAGUAAUUACUAACACAUUUCCCAACUUGGAAAGCCAGCCACAUCCCACACCAGGGCCAGACUCAGAGCUCUUCUGUUCCAAGGAGGUUGGAGCGGGCUCAGGGACAGGAAAGGAUUUUGCAAGCCAGCCGCCUCCCUCUCACUGGCUUUGGAACUGUGCGCCCUGAAAAGUGGAAUUCAUCUUGAAAGAGAAAGCAGAGGACACUUCUGCCUAAAUUCUCCAUUAAGAUACACAUUUUCCAUACAUACAGUGUAGCCAUCCUUUCAGUACUACUCAAUAGCAAAAGAUAAUCAACAUCGAAACAAAGGAAAGGGAAAUCUUUGAGGAGAAUAACCAUGACAGACAAUUGCUGAACAUCAAACUAAGGAGUGAACACUUCAUCAGAUCUGCUUGCCUUAACAACAAAAAUAGCCAAAAUGUUAAGACAGUCAAACUAGAUUGAUUGUUUUUGAUACAAUCUGUGAGUGGUUGACCCAAGAAUUCUCAAUCUAAUCACGCCUAUAAAUACAGAGACUGUAUCCACAGAUGCAAAAGCAGCCAGAGGACAAGUGAGAAAUUCGUCAGUCACCUGGAUGCCUCAUCUCUACAAUGGCACUGAACAGCAUGUGAAGAGACACCCGCAAGGGUCUGUGAGUGGCUUCUGGGCGCUGGGUCUCACAGGAAGCAUCUACUUUAAAAGCUGGGAAUGCUGAUCCUUUCAGUUUCUAUCAAGAAGACAAAGUCUGGCUUAUAAUAGAAAAACAGAUUCCCCCAAAUCAUUGUCUAGAGGUGUUGAAUCACACAUGAAUGUCAGCAAAUGAUGCCAACUAUGGAUCACUUUCCUGGGGACUUUAUCUGGUGUGAACCAAGAGAAUCCUACUUCAUGCAUUUUUUUAAACAUCCACAGAUAACUGUUGUGCUGUGUCAUAGACCAAAAGGGAAAUUACAUUUUUCUCAUAAUUGGAUUUGGUACUUGUAGGCUUUCCUGAAGACAAGGAAAAGGAAAUUUAUUUUAGAUUCUUAAAAAACCUUGAACUAAAAAAUUUCAAUCAGCAUAUCAGGUGCCUAUCUGAAUUCAACCACCACUGUGGCAGAGAUGGAUGACUUCGUGUACCGGUACAGGAGAAAAGGGUUCCUGAAGCUUCAUUCUUGUUUGUUUGUUUGGUUGGGCUUUUUCUUUUCAUUCUGAGUUCUAAAAAAGUUAUUACUUGAUAGCUUGGUGGCAAUGCAGUCUGUGUUGAGAAAAUAGGAAUUGAUUAAGAAGUGAGAGACUGUGAGAGACUGAAAAUGAGUAAGAAAAAAAAAAAGCCUACAAAGCAUUUACAGUGUAAUUUUCCAAUACAGAUUUGAGUAGAUACUGCAUGCACUUAGAAACAGAUGCAUUGUCAAGCCUUUAUUAUUGAACAAAGAAUAAUUUUUGAGUUUCCCCUUUUUAAAAAGAACCCAAGAAAAUACAAUGCUAAAAUCUAUAUAUUAGCACAGCAUUCAUUUGAAUGCCUAAUUGCUUGAGACUUGCAAGAUUCAGUCUCAACUGGUGGAGGUCCUGACAUAGCUAGCAUAUGGCUGGAUGCUAAGGAAGAAUGGUUGCAAUGAUCAUUUGUGGAAACAAAACAUUAAUCUAUAAAUAUCAAUUUGCUGGGCUAAUUACCAAGGAUGUUAACUUGAUGUAUUGAUUAUUACAAAAUAAAUCUGUGGAUACAUUUAAAUGU